GACGAACCGUCCAAACGUUAUUCGGAAUUACUGGGCUUAAAGGGUGCGUAGGCGGCGCGGCAAGUUGGGUGUGAAAUCCCUCGGCUCAACCGAGGAACUGCGCCCAAUACUACCGUGCUCGAGGGAGAUAGAGGUGAGCGGAACUUAGGGUGGAGCGGUGAAAUGCGUUGAUAUCCUAAGGAACACCGGUGGCGAAAGCGGCUCACUGGAUCUCUUCUGACGCUGAGGCACGAAAGCUAGGGUAGCGAACGGG
RNAcentral lists this ribosomal RNA (253 nucleotides) under uncultured bacterium. Its description in RNAcentral is "partial 16S ribosomal RNA". It matches the Rfam family "Bacterial small subunit ribosomal RNA", at positions 524 to 776 of the family's 1533-position model. The record is from RNAcentral.